This 2188-nucleotide long non-coding RNA is filed under the name Brassica rapa (field mustard). RNAcentral describes it as "long non-coding RNA (BRAP_LNC008478)". The record is from RNAcentral. Lineage: Eukaryota; Viridiplantae; Streptophyta; Magnoliopsida; Brassicales; Brassicaceae.
GAAUCAUUAGAGCAACGGGCAGAGCCCGCGUCGAUCUUUUAUCUAAUAAAUGCAUCCCUUCCAGAAGUCAGGGUUUGUUGCACGUAUUAGCUCUAGAAUUACUACGGUUAUCCGAGUAGUAGUUACCAUCAAACAAACUAUAACUGAUUUAAUGAGCUAUUCGCAGUUUCACAGUCUGAAUUUGUUCAUACUUACACAUGCAUGGCUUUGUCACGCCCCCAAUCCUGAGUAGGAUUGUUGGGACGGCCAUGGUUCGAGGAAACGUGCAAGCCAGUCUUAGGACAUCAAGGCAAGCGUUCCAUGGUCGAGAAAGAAGGUUAAGGACAUAAGGAAACUUAGACUUAACCUUAUACAAGCUAAGAGACAGCUAGGAAGAGUAAGACGGUAGCUGGACGAAGUGGACGAGUAGCUCGGCCAGCUCAAUGAAGCUAGGUUCAGUUCACUCCAGCUCAGUCCCUACUAAGUCAGCUCCACUAGCUGGACUACUAGCUCACUCAGCUGAGGCAGCUGAGAGUCAGCUCAUCUCAGCUAGACGGACUGUCCGGGCUUUAGGCCGAUGGUCCGGGUCCGGGUCAGUGGCGGGCUGUGAGGUCCGGCCAUGAGGCCAUGGGCUGUUGGGUCUUAGGACAAGGCAGUGGGCUACGUCCAGGAGGCUUGGGGCGUGGGUUGGGCUUGUGGCCAACCCCAAACCCAAUCAUAAAGGGCGAAGGGAUGCAAGUGGCCGAAAGGGGAUAACCCUUGGCCGAUGGUGCCCAUUCAUUAUCCAAUUCCAGAGUAAAAUACUCAGAGAAAACCAUAGAGAGAAAGAAAGAGAGAAAGAGAGAGUUCCGGCCAAGAGAAAGGCCGAUUGUGGUGGUGUUGUGUUCCGGCGACACUGAUCGUUUGAGAACUAACUCCGGUCAAGAAUGGAAGAUCACGACAAGGAGAAGAGCAUGGAGAACCCAGACGUGGCUCACAAGGUAUGUGAUGGGCCGUGGCUCCAUCAGACCGAACGGACGGUCAAUGCGACCGCACCGCGGCUCUGCUUGGUUCCUAAGUCCCAUCCGGCUCUCCUUAUCUGUUUCAAUUCGUUUCUCUUAUCUUCUCUCUGGUUAAACACGAAGGGUUGUGUUGGUUGAGUCCAAGGGACACGUCCCUAGGCUUUGGCCGAACAUAAUCAAACCGCUAGCCUAGACACGGGUCGGUUAGUGGGAUGAUCCGAUCGCACCAAGACUGGGCGGUUAGGACGAACGGUUGGGAAUGACCCAAGGGGCACGAGUUGUCAAGAGUCACGAGUGUCCAAGAGGCACGAAUGGCCAAAGGGUACAUGUUCCAAACGGUGUCUUUCGGGACAGGUUAGGACCGAUCCUUAUGGAUCAGCCUAUGGCUUGUCUAGUCAAGACAAGGUCACGGUUUGUCUAAGCCAAGGUGGAGUCGCAAGGUCUGACCGGUUGCUAAGCCUUCCGGAUUAGGCUUGAGGCUUACUCGGCCGAUUGGAUCCAGGCCUAAGGCCGGAUCAGGAAAGGGAGUCCGUUGGGCCAUCGAGCCGGACUCCAUUGGCCGGUCGCACCUAGAUUCUAUCCGGUUAGACGGAUUGGUCUUUGGGGACGAUUCGGAUCUGUUCGUGUGUUCUGUUUAUCUAUUCUGGACUAUCUAUCUGAUUCUAAGUCAAGGGGUGGUUGGUUGAAUGACUUAGGAUACGGUAGGUAGGUUCAUACGUUUUAUGAUUAUGUUGACUGAGGUUUAUCUAAGUUCUAGGAACCAAGCCAAGCAUUGUAGAAUCAAUCCGUUCUAUUCUCGGUUAUGAUUAAUGCUUAUCUGGUUGUGGUUUCAGGAACUAAGGAUGGUUCUGGUCAAGCCAAGGAGCCGUGAAGGCUCGGUCAGUGAGAGGCUGUGUAACGUGUGGUUAGAUGAUACUAGGGAUGAACUAGUGAUUGUCUAUGAGACUGUUAAGAAGUUGUGUAUUGAAUCUCAUGUUUCUAAGUAAUACAAAGUUUAUACAUUGUUAUUCCGCUGUGCAAUCUGUUCCUUUGUUUAUGAACCUCAUAUUCGAAUAUGACUUAGCAAAUAAAAGACUUAAAAUGGAUCAAACGAGCAAAGAAAUUAAUAAGUAAGCAUUCGUAUCCAGUUGGGUCAAGAGACCAGGAACGGGUCUUACAGGCUUAAUCUUUGAGACAAGCAUAUGACUACUGGCACGAUCAACCAGGUA